GCGGCAAUAGCUCAGUGGUAGAGCCCUCGCUUCGCGUGCGGGGGGACCCGAGUUCGAUUCCCGGCUGCA
This 69-nucleotide transfer RNA is filed under the name Toxocara canis (dog roundworm). It matches the Rfam family "tRNA". Rfam says of the family: Transfer RNA (tRNA) molecules are approximately 80 nucleotides in length. Their secondary structure includes four short double-helical elements and three loops (D, anti-codon, and T loops). Further hydrogen bonds mediate the characteristic L-shaped molecular structure. tRNAs have two regions of fundamental functional importance: the anti-codon, which is responsible for specific mRNA codon recognition, and the 3' end, to which the tRNAs corresponding amino acid is attached (by aminoacyl-tRNA synthetases). tRNAs cope with the degeneracy of the genetic code in two manners: having more than one tRNA (with a specific anti-codon) for a particular amino acid; and 'wobble' base-pairing, i.e. permitting non-standard base-pairing at the 3rd anti-codon position. The record is from Rfam by way of RNAcentral. Lineage: Eukaryota; Metazoa; Nematoda; Chromadorea; Rhabditida; Toxocaridae.